RNAcentral lists this ribosomal RNA (269 nucleotides) under Botryochytrium sp. Its description in RNAcentral is "partial small subunit ribosomal RNA". It matches the Rfam family "Eukaryotic small subunit ribosomal RNA", at positions 1328 to 1594 of the family's 1831-position model. The record is from RNAcentral. Lineage: Eukaryota; Bigyra; Thraustochytrida; Thraustochytriidae.
UUAACGAACGAGACCACAGCCUACUAAAUAGCGUUGUGAAUGGUGACAUUCAUGAUGAGCUUCUUAGAGGGACAUUUCGGGUUUACCGGAAGGAAGUUUGUGGCAAUAACAGGUCUGUGAUGCCCUUAGAUGUUCUGGGCCGCACGCGCGCUACACUGAUCGGUUCAACGAGUUUUUCUUGUUCUUUUAGGAAUGAGAAGUCCUUGGCCGGAAGGUCUGGGUAAUCUUUUGAACGCCGAUCGUGAUGGGGCUAGAUUUUUGCAAUUAUU